GUGCUCGCUUAGGCAGCACAUAUGUUAAAAUUGGAAUGAUACAGAGAAGAUUAACAUGGUCCCCGUGCAAGGAUGACACGCAAAUUCAUGAAGAGUUCCAUAUUUAA
Molecule: small nuclear RNA, 107 nt
Organism: Camelus dromedarius (Arabian camel)
Lineage: Eukaryota; Metazoa; Chordata; Mammalia; Artiodactyla; Camelidae
Source: Ensembl